CGGGGCGUGGCGCAGCUUGGUAGCGCGCUUCGUUCGGGACGAAGAGGUCGCUGGUUCGAAUCCAGUCGCCCCGACCA
Molecule: transfer RNA, 77 nt
Filed under: bacterium
Lineage: Bacteria
Also listed under: 6 other names
Description: tRNA-Pro
Rfam family: tRNA
About the family: Transfer RNA (tRNA) molecules are approximately 80 nucleotides in length. Their secondary structure includes four short double-helical elements and three loops (D, anti-codon, and T loops).
Source: RNAcentral